GAUGAACGCUGGCGGCGUGCUUAACACAUGCAAGUCGAACGGGAUCCAUCAAGCUUGCUUGGUGGUGAGAGUGGCGAACGGGUGAGUAAUGCGUGACCGACCUGCCCCAUACACCGGAAUAGCUCCUGGAAACGGGUGGUAAUGCCGGAUGCUCCAGUUGAUCGCAUGGUCUUCUGGGAAAGCUUUCGCGGUAUGGGAUGGGGUCGCGUCCUAUCAGCUUGACGGCGGGGUAACGGCCCACCGUGGCUUCGACGGGUAGCCGGCCUGAGAGGGCGACCGGCCACAUUGGGACUGAGAUACGGCCCAGACUCCUACGGGAGGCAGCAGUGGGGAAUAUUGCACAAUGGGCGCAAGCCUGAUGCAGCGACGCCGCGUGAGGGAUGGAGGCCUUCGGGUUGUAAACCUCUUU
Molecule: ribosomal RNA, 409 nt
Filed under: uncultured bacterium
Lineage: Bacteria
Description: bacterial SSU rRNA
Rfam family: Bacterial small subunit ribosomal RNA
Source: RNAcentral